GUGCGAAAGCACGAUGAGGGGAUCCCAAGUGCUUGCUCGUAAGAGUUGGCUGUUUCUUUGUUUAAAACGCAUAGAGAGUAAGGGCUGGGUAAGACGGGUGCCAGCCGCCGCGGUAAUACCUGCAGCUCAAGUGGUGGCCGCUAUUAUUGGGCCUAAAACGUCCGUAGCCGGUUUAAUAAAUGCCUGGGUAAAUCGUGUAGCUUAACUAUACGAAUUCCGGGUAGACUGUUAAGCUUGAGACCGGGAGAAGUUAGAGGUACUCCUGGGGUAGAGGUGAAAUUCUGUAAUCCUAGGGGGACCACCAGUGGCGAAGGCGUCUGACUAGAACGGGUCUGACGGUGAGGGACGAAGCCCUGGGGCGCAAACCGGAUUAGAUACCCGGGUAGUCCAGGGUGUAAACGCUGCUUGCUUGAUGUUGGUUGGGCUCCGAGCCCAAUCAGUGUCGGAGAGAAGUUGUUAAGCAAGCUGCCUGGGAAGUACGUGCGAAAGCGUGCGAAAGCGUGCGAAAGCGUGCGAAAGCCACA
Molecule: ribosomal RNA, 524 nt
Filed under: uncultured euryarchaeote
Lineage: Archaea; Methanobacteriati; Methanobacteriota
Description: bacterial SSU rRNA
Rfam family: Archaeal small subunit ribosomal RNA
Source: RNAcentral